RNAcentral lists this ribosomal RNA (980 nucleotides) under uncultured Chloroflexota bacterium. RNAcentral describes it as "bacterial SSU rRNA". It matches the Rfam family "Bacterial small subunit ribosomal RNA", at positions 8 to 989 of the family's 1533-position model. Lineage: Bacteria; Bacillati; Chloroflexota. The record is from RNAcentral.
AGAGUUUGAUCCUGGCUCAGGAUGAACGCUGGCGGCGUGCCUAAUACAUGCAAGUCGAACGGAGAUUGUAGCAAUACGGUCUUAGUGGCGAACGGGUGAGUAACGCGUUGGCAACCUGCCCCGAAGUGUGGGAUAACGGUCCGAAAGGGCCACUAAUACCACAUGUGAUCCCGAGGAACAGAUACUUGGGAUGAAAGGAGCGAUUCGCUUCGGGAGGGGCCUGCGUCCCAUCAGCUAGUUGGUAAGGUAACGGCUUACCAAGGCGAUGACGGGUAGGGGACCUGAGAGGGUGGCCCCCCACAAUGGAACUGAAACACGGUCCAUACACCUACGGGUGGCAGCAGUAGGGAAUAUUGGUUAAUGUGCGAAAGCGCGAACCAGCAACGCCGCGUGUGCGAUGAAGGCCUUCGGGUCGUAAAGCACUUUUUGCAGGGAAGAGGAAGGACGGUACCUGCAGAAUAAGUCUCGGCUAACUACGUGCCAGCAGCCGCGGUAAAACGUAGGAGGCGAGCGUUAUCCGGAUUUACUGGGCGUAAAGCGCGUGCAGGCGGCAUGGCAAGUUGGAUGUGAAAGCUCCCGGCUUAACUGGGAGAGGUCGUUCAAUACUGCCAGGCUUGAGAGUGGUAGAGGGAAGCGGAAUUCCGGGUGUAGUGGUGAAAUGCGUAGAUAUCCGGAGGAACACCAGUGGCGAAAGCGGCUUCCUGGCCCAUUUCUGACGCUCAGACGCGAAAGCUAGGGUAGCAAACGGGAUUAGAGACCCCGGGUAGUCCUAGCCCGUAAACGAUGUGAACUUUGGCGUUUGGCGGGUUUAAAAUCCGUCCAGUGCCGUAAGCUAACGCGAUAAUUUCACCCGCCUGGGGGACUACGGGCCGCAAGGUUAAAAACUCAAAGGAAUUGACGGGGGCUCCGCACAAGCCAGCGGAGCGGUGUGGCUUUAAUUUCGAUGGUUACCCGAACACCCUUACCCUGGGUUUUGGACC